RNAcentral lists this small nuclear RNA (115 nucleotides) under Carlito syrichta (Philippine tarsier). Its description in RNAcentral is "U5 spliceosomal RNA (ENSTSYG00000024688.2)". It matches the Rfam family "U5 spliceosomal RNA". Rfam says of the family: U5 RNA is a component of both types of known spliceosome. The precise function of this molecule is unknown, though it is known that the 5' loop is required for splice site selection and p220 binding, and that both the 3' stem-loop and the Sm site are important for Sm protein binding and cap methylation. Lineage: Eukaryota; Metazoa; Chordata; Mammalia; Primates; Tarsiidae. The record is from Rfam by way of RNAcentral.
AAGCCUGGUUUCUAUUCAGAAAGAAUAAUUUUUUUGCCUUUUUCUAAAGUUUUCUGUGGAAAGGAACAGUUAUGAACAGUAACCAAAUUUUUUCAGGACUUGCAUAUGCGAGGCU